This is a long non-coding RNA of Paramormyrops kingsleyae, 1896 nucleotides long. RefSeq lists it as uncharacterized. The record is from RefSeq and is a predicted model, not a curated record. Lineage: Eukaryota; Metazoa; Chordata; Actinopteri; Osteoglossiformes; Mormyridae.
GCUCAGGAUUGCGCCCUGGUGCGUUAUAAAAAGCCAGAGCUUUCCUGACGCACCUCAAAACAGCUCAGACAGUGCGUCAAAGAGCACAGAGACUCAACUGGGGCACAAAGCCAGCUGCACGCUCACCAGACAGGCCUGAGGCACAGAGCCGGCUGCGCAUUCACCAGACAGAACCGGGGCACAAAGCCGGCUGCGCAUUCACCAGACAGAGCCGUUUACCUGACAGACAGGCUGCCGAUGCUGUCUGGGGUCACCACCCGCGAAAUGAAACCCAGGAGACUGCUUCUGUCAGUGGAGCCCCUACCCACAAUCAGCGAGACGCAGGAGGACGCCCCCACACAGGGGUCCUGCCACGGCCAGCCCGCCCAGUCCAUGGAGGACUACGUGGACUCCAUCAAAGAGCUGGCAAGACCCAGUUUCGGGCCGCUAAGGGUCCCACGGUCACAGAGACCCCGUCUCUUCAUCAAGGCCCCGGCCCGGCCCGCCCCCAGAGCAUACCGGCCCCGUGGCACGUCCUGCGAGGCGGCACUCAGGACGUCCCAGCAGAGGGACUGCACCAGGGACCCACUGGACUGGCUGUUUGCGCAGACGCAGCGAGAUGACAACGGUCCUGCCGCUUUAUGCCUGCUCUGAAGGACAUGGGGCUGCCCGGACAGUCUGCGCAGACGCAGAGGCGGACAUCUGUUCUGAAGGACUGCAACUGCAGAAAUAAGUUAUUACUGAGUUAUUUCAGAGGGUCUUGCUGUGCAGGGCUAAUGUUUACAGCCAGAAGAAUAUUAAUGAUUUUUGUAAUAAAAUGUGAAAUACUGCAACUGCUCAUCUGAGGCACUUUGUAAAAUGUACAAGGUUUAAACCAUCUGCUAAACACUUCUGGUGUUUAAACAGUGUUUACAGACAAAGCAAAUUAACUCACAGCACUGUUGUGUUAUUGGACGGAAACGCACUUCCCCUGAUUUAACUCUCGCAUCGCCAAACCCCUUUCCAAGUUCCUCUGCGUGGAUUUUCUCCUCCCCCUACAUCUUCAAGACCCAAAGCUGCUGGUUUCCCAUCACUAAUCUGAUCCAGGUGCAUAUAAGAGAGCCACCUGAAACUGUCAGGCCAGGUCCAUCUGGACAUAAAACCCUGGGGGAAAAGCCCUUUUGGGAAAGAAUCCAGUUAUUAUGCUAACUGAUGGCCAGGCAAAGCCAGCAGCUCAGCCAACAAAGACGAGGAAUGGAUCUGGUGGUGCCUGUUUGCUGACUUGGGGAUUUCAGUUCCCUUCAGUUCCGAUUCAGAUCCCCACCAGCUGAGGUUCCUGGUCAGCUCAGUCACCUGAUAUUUGAGACAAUCCCUAUUGGCUAAAACAUACAGAAAAAAAAAGAAUCAGAUUACCACCAUCAACUGCCACCCUGUUCCUUACAACGAAGUAGAAAUGACAGACCCACAAACAAGUCCAGUUUCUCUAAGGUGCAGCUACUAGGGUGGUUGAUUAAUUUACGUUUCAAAUGUCACAGCUAUUAUAGAGACACACAUGCACAUGGAAUUUCUGCACACUGCUAGAAGAACAGUUGAAAAUAACUUUUCGAACAGCUCUCAGUGCUACAGGUGCAUCAGCCCAGAACCAACAGAGAUCUUAACAGCUUCUUUCACAGAUGUCCUACUUAGACAACCUCCUUAAAUCAACAUGGCACAGGGCCUGGAACACACAGGAAGCCCCCCCCCAACAUAAUGCCACCUGAAUUUAUAUACCAUAUCAAAGGCAUUAGUCUAGAACCAGUCUGACCAGAUAUCUUAACUGAUUUAACCAGAACUGAGUGUCUUGUAGUCAGACAAUGUACCAUGUGGUUUUGGAUCAGUGCCAAACAAUCGUAUGCGUGUACAUAUCUGCCUAAAUAAAGGGAGUCUGAUUACAACAUA